Oncorhynchus nerka (sockeye salmon) is the source of this 185-nucleotide long non-coding RNA. RefSeq lists it as uncharacterized. The record is from RefSeq and is a predicted model, not a curated record. The transcript has 3 exons. NCBI's taxonomy places the organism in Eukaryota, Metazoa, Chordata, Actinopteri, Salmoniformes, Salmonidae.
CCCCUGCCCCUGUCACCUCUUCUCCAGCCCCAGAGCCAACUCCAGCCUCAAACCCUGUGCCGCCACCACAGACUCCUGAGCCAGACACUGAGAGAAGCCAGUCUACAGUCAGUAAUGGGAGGAACACACCUGGGGGUACGAGAAAAGAGGUGACGUGGGAGGACCAGCAGAGGAAGGCUAAUGGU